GAUACUUUAAAUUAAAAGAUCUGAUUUGCAUUUAGAUAAUGAGUCUUGUAGACUUUCGGGUCA
This 63-nucleotide transfer RNA is filed under the name Fusinus longicaudus. Its description in RNAcentral is "tRNA-Ala". Lineage: Eukaryota; Metazoa; Mollusca; Gastropoda; Neogastropoda; Fasciolariidae. The record is from RNAcentral.